Alosa sapidissima (American shad) is the source of this 797-nucleotide long non-coding RNA. RefSeq lists it as uncharacterized. NCBI's taxonomy places the organism in Eukaryota, Metazoa, Chordata, Actinopteri, Clupeiformes, Clupeidae. The record is from RefSeq and is a predicted model, not a curated record. The transcript has 2 exons.
GCUCUGCCCUGCUUCCUCUCAAAUGCUUGUGUGUGUAUGUUGGGAAUGGCGGCCGAUGUAGAGGUAGCUGGUGUGUGUUUAUGUGUAGAGUGUGUAGGGGGGGUGUGUGUCUCACCUGCUUCCGUGUCCGCGUCUUCCCAGUCCGCAGCUUGAUGUAUCGCGCUAUCAGCUCGUUCCGUCCUGCGGGAGGGAGAGGGUUAAGAAACAACAUUAGGCAAAGGCAAAGCCCCCACCGCCCAACCCCCACCCAACCCUCCCCUCAACAACCCCCAACACGGAGGUCAAACUCUUCGGACGGCAUCACAUUUAAGCAGAUGCUAAUAUAUCACCUAGCUCAUCUGAAAACGCAUGUGUCACUGGAUCAGUGGCUGGAGUUGAGCUAGUGGUGGCGGGACAUGACGACAGAAACACAUGCCUGGUCUGUGGCUGGAGCCUGGGGAGCACGGGGUUGUUUGACAUGGUGGGGAAAUGUUUACUGAGACAACCUCAUCACGGCGCUCGGAGAUCGGUUAAUUUGAAUUGUAAAUGAAGCACCAUGUGUGUGAUCUGUGAGGGCACUGGCCCAGUGCUGACAGACAGGUCACAGUGGCGGAGCAGGUGAAGAAGGCCAGGCCAUGCGAUCCAGGGGGAGGACCGAGGGCUCGGAGAGACUCCCAGCUCGGUGUGGACAGCGGGGACAGGCGAGGGGGAAGCGCUGGUGAAACACAGGAGUGGCCUGCAGCUGGUGUGUGUGUGUCAAUGUUUAUAGAAUAUGCCUCUUUACGACCGCAGUAAAUCUUCAGCUUGUUCCAUUGUAA